RNAcentral lists this ribosomal RNA (113 nucleotides) under Pseudopleuronectes yokohamae (marbled flounder). RNAcentral's name for it is "partial 16S rRNA". Lineage: Eukaryota; Metazoa; Chordata; Actinopteri; Pleuronectiformes; Pleuronectidae. The record is from RNAcentral.
CGCCUAUUAGCUAGCCCCACCCCUUAACACAACAAACCCCCAUUCAUAACCCCUAAAGCACGAAACACCCACGUAGCUAAACCAUUCUCCCCCCUAAGUCCAGGCGAUAAAAA